AGGUCCUCUACCUGGUGAAACUCGACUUCCAGGACAAGGUGGAGGCGAAGGAUUUCUACACAGUACAACCCAAGGUGGUUAUCGGUGGUCGUUGGAGGUGGUCGGAGGUGGACGAGGAGGAGGACGAGGACGACUAGGAGAAGAAGGUGGCUGAGGAUUUGUGCUCGGUAUAACCCGAGGUGGUUGGCGGUGGUCGAGCUG
Long non-coding RNA from Neodiprion virginianus, 201 nucleotides. RefSeq lists it as uncharacterized. The record is from RefSeq and is a predicted model, not a curated record. The transcript is spliced from 3 exons. Lineage: Eukaryota; Metazoa; Arthropoda; Insecta; Hymenoptera; Diprionidae.